ACCACCCGAGUUGUUUAUGGGCUAUUUAUAGAGUGUCGCUUUCACUUGGAACCAAAUGCUUUUAUCCCUUCACAACCCCACGUGUACGUACUUUUAAAACACUUAACUCUGUUCCGCUUUGUUUUGGGUUGGUUCAGUUCUGGUUUUGUCUUGGGGGAGGCGUGUGUUGAUCGGGGAAUGGGAGAAGGGGUUUAAGAAAGAGAAAAUCACCCGGAUUAUGGAUGUGAACUGCGCCAAAGUAUGAUUCUGCCAAAGCGACGUGCUUUCUUCAGUUGAAGGAGACGGUUUUGGAAGAGAUGUGUCUGUUCCUCAUCUGGGUGGAAGUCACUUAUUUCCACUAAUUUUCAACAUUACUUUCCCAUUUUUGUUUUUCGGCGCUAUUUUUGACAGAAGAUUGCCAUACUUGAGUUGUCAACCACGUACGGAAGCUUUUAAGUCCUUUUAAAUUUUCCAACGCCAGGCUUUGUCGGAGGCCACAGCCCCCUUGGAUUUCCCGGACCUGCCCGAGAUCAGGAAGCUGGUGAUAAACGGCGAGUCGUUGAGGGCGAGGAGAGCUUGUGCCCUGGGUACUGAACUUACCGAGCCACCGGAAAAUGACAUCAGACCUCUCUUGUAGGAGGGACGUGCCCGGAGCCUGCUCUGCAUUGUCAGUCUGCGUGGACUCGUGUGGCCGCUCCCCCGGGGGGAUUAUUUCCGCCGAGAUGAGCUCCGUGGGAGGCGUUUCAUCACCCGCCCUCCAGCAGCCACUGCACCUGUAGCCCCGCACCGGGCCCUCAGGAGAUGGGCCCCCAGACCCCCGGCCUGAGCGUGUGUCCCAGGGAAGCGCAAGGGAGGGCGUGCUGAGAUCCAGGCAUUUGGAAUAAUUUCACCGGCGCUGAGAUGUCUUCUGUCCGCCCUGCCCCGUAUCCUCCCCCCUCCCUCCGUUCCCCUUCGCACACGUCCAAACACACAGCUCCUCGGAAGUCUUCCCGAAUAUGCCAUUCUCCAGAUCGGCUUUUGAAUAUGAAUGCAGGGAGCACUCGUGAUGUUUUUCCACCCUCGGAGCCGGUUGAUUUAUGGCCCGGAUUACUGGAAACAGUAAUUCUCCGCUCUUUAUGAUGUUUUGGUGGAAGGUGCCGUAGCCUGCGGUCAGAACAGUAUGAUUUCAACUAGGUUUUUACAAAAAGGUCUCUGCAGUGAGGGUGGCUGUGAAUUGUACAGCUUCUGUAACAGAGCAGUUAAUAAGACACCAGCACAUUAAUCAUGUGACAGCUAUUGGGUUUAGCAGGGAAAGGCAGUGGCUUUUGAAAACAGCAAUUUAGGUUACUACUGUGUUGAAAGAGGUUGGCUGAACACCCUGUUUUUAACCCGUGGUUAACAGUUAAAUGGUGCUGGUCGUUUUUCCGGACAUCUGGAAAUUCGCGUUUGAUUCCGGACAUCAAAAUUCGCGUGUCUGGAAUUUUCAGUCAGCGUGAUGAACUAAUCGACCUCUUCCGUUAUCUCCCAUCCUGGAGACCCAGAAAUGUGUUGAGGAACAAGCCAGAAACCAGCUCUGGCAAUUCUAUAACCAGUCUCACAGCAAGGUAAGCAGCAAACCAAAGCCUUGUCUGCGAGUGAAACUGGUAACAGAUCAUAAGUGAGCUGAGGAAGUCUGGCCUGUCGAGAGGUUGGCACCGAAAAAUGUAUCAGAAUUUCUGUGCUUUGAACCCAUCAAGAUGCAUGGUGUAGAGCUCCAGAAAUAAAAUGAGAGGGACUUCGUGAAUCUGUUGCUAGAAAACAACAGUUACCCGUGCCAAUAUCCUAAGAAACGAAAACAUUACCUUUUGAGAUGAAACAGCGAUUAACGUUCUUGUUUUUGUUUUUUUUUUUUUUACUCGUUUAUAUUGCCUUUCUCUAAUGAAAUAAAUGAAGUUGCGUCUAUUGGGCAAUUAUAAUCCACGAGAGGCCACGAAAGUACAGUGGGAAUAAACCCUGCCUUUUGUUCUGAAGGAGAGUUACGUGUGAUAAUGAAUCACUUAAAAGAAACCAGUCUGUUGGGGGUGUUAAAAUCACAGCUGCUGACGCCAGACCUGCCCGCCUCCAAGUUGGGGUUCCAAGUCUCACUUUUAGCAUUAGGCGAACUGGUAUACAAUCCCUUUGUGCCCUGGUUUCUUGGCUGUUUAAAAUGUGCACAAUAGCAGGACACCCAUGCAUGGCGUUGCCGUGAGGAUUAAGGGAAUAUUACGACGCGAGGAAUCAUUGAAAACAAAAAGUGUAGAUACCUUUCAUCUAGUGGGCUCUCAGGAGGUAAGUUUGGCGUAUCUAUAUUACAGAUUAUCAUCUGCUAAUUAAAGAUGCUGGCGUAUUGUGGACUUAGGGGCAAAGGAAAACGUUCAUGACAUACUGUCCAGGGUGGAAAAGCUACAAAACAGCUUUUUACGAACACAUCGUGCAUGUGCAAAUCCUCAGCAGAGUGUAGUUUUUAAAAGUACACACAGUAGGUGUUUUUGUUGUCUAUCAAGAUGGCGAGAAUUCACACAUAGAAUCAGCAUCUGACGUUGGCCAUGGCGUUAGAAUUAGACAACGGGCACAUACCCUGCACAGUUGGCGAAGAAUAUAUUAGGGCAUCUUUCCUGGAGAGCAACUGGAAAUAGCUGUCCAAUGCCUUACACCUGACCUUUGGCCUAUCAGGCACACUUCCCCGAUUUUUGCUAAGAAAAUCAUCACUGAUACGUGGAAAGGUGCAUUUAUGCAAUGGGAUACUCCACCCCAAUAUAAAUGAUACACACAGUGACAUAGAUGAAUCUCAAAGUCCUAAAACUUGGCAAGAGGAACCAGGCGAAAGAAUACCCAUCUAUAUAACUAUAAAAUAUAUUAUAAUGAAAUACAAUUAUGUAAAUGUAAUAAUUAACGCAUAAAAUGUAUUAUGAUGAAGAUAAAAGUAUUUUAUGUCAUUAUAUAAUAUGACACUAUUACAAUUUAAAAACCACUAUUUGUUUCAUAAAGAUCGAAAGCAGUCAAAACUAACCCCAAAGUGCCAGAAGUCAGGACGGCAGUUCUCUCUUGGAGAAGAAGUGAUAGUGGGAAACAGGUCAAGAGGAAGCUGUGGAAUGUUUCUUUCUCUUGAUCUAAGUUGUGGACACAAAAGUAACAUUGUUGUACAAACAAGGAAAAUCUUAACUAUUUGUUAACUGUGGUCCCCUUAAGUCAAUUAAAAAAUUUUUUUUCAUGUUUAUUUAUU
This is a long non-coding RNA of Lynx canadensis (Canada lynx), 3199 nucleotides long. RefSeq lists it as uncharacterized. Lineage: Eukaryota; Metazoa; Chordata; Mammalia; Carnivora; Felidae. The record is from RefSeq and is a predicted model, not a curated record. The transcript has 4 exons.